This 400-nucleotide ribosomal RNA is filed under the name uncultured bacterium. RNAcentral's name for it is "bacterial SSU rRNA". It matches the Rfam family "Bacterial small subunit ribosomal RNA", at positions 355 to 772 of the family's 1533-position model. The record is from RNAcentral.
UGGGGAAUCUUGCGCAAUGGACGAAAGUCUGACGCAGCAAUACCGCGUGGGUGAAGAAGGUCUUCGGAUCGUAAAACCCUUUUACAGGGGAAGAUAAUGACGGUACCCUGUGAAUAAGCACCGGCUAACUCCGUGCCAGCAGCCGCGGUAAUACGGAGGGUGCAAGCGUUGUUCGGAAUUACUGGGCGUAAAGAGCGUGUAGGCGGCUUAGUAAGCGUAGGGUGAAAUCCCGGGGCUCAACCCCGGAACUGCUCUUCGAACUGCUGGGCUUGAGAUAGUUAGGGGCAGAUGGAAUUCCUGGUGUAGAGGUGAUAUUCACAGAUAUCAGGAGGAACACCCGUGGCGAAAGCGGUCUGCUGGAACUUUUCUGACGCUAAAGCGCGAAAGCGUAGGUAGCAAA